This 432-nucleotide ribosomal RNA is filed under the name uncultured bacterium. Its description in RNAcentral is "bacterial SSU rRNA". It matches the Rfam family "Bacterial small subunit ribosomal RNA", at positions 338 to 779 of the family's 1533-position model. The record is from RNAcentral.
CCUACGGGAGGCAGCAGUGGGGAAUAUUGCACAAUGGGCGCAAGCCUGAUGCAGCGACGCCGCGUGGGGGAUGAAGGCCUUCGGGUUGUAAACUCCUUUCGCUAGGGACGAAGCCUUAUGGUGACGGUACCUGGAGAAGAAGCACCGGCUAACUACGUGCCAGCAGCCGCGGUAAUACGUAGGGUGCGAGCGUUGUCCGGAAUUACUGGGCGUAAAGAGCUCGUAGGUGGUUUGUCGCGUCGUCUGUGAAAUCCCGGGGCUUAACUUCGGGCGUGCAGGCGAUACGGGCAUAACUUGAGUGCUGUAGGGGAGACUGGAAUUCCUGGUGUAGCGGUGAAAUGCGCAGAUAUCAGGAGGAACACCAAUGGCGAAGGCAGGUCUCUGGGCAGUAACUGACGCUGAGGAGCGAAAGCAUGGGUAGCGAACAGGAUU